RNAcentral lists this ribosomal RNA (468 nucleotides) under uncultured organism. RNAcentral's name for it is "bacterial SSU rRNA". It matches the Rfam family "Bacterial small subunit ribosomal RNA", at positions 28 to 507 of the family's 1533-position model. The record is from RNAcentral.
GAUGAACGCUAGCGGCAGGCCUAAUACAUGCAAGUCAAGGGGGCAGCAAUGUCACCGGCGGACGGGUGCGUAACGCGUACACAACAUACCUUUAAGCGGGGCAUAGCAUCGGGAAACUGGUGGUAAUACCCCAUAACAUUGCGAGGUGGCAUUACUUUGCAAUUAAAGUUACGGCGCUUAGAGAUUGGUGUGCGUCUGAUUAGCUAGUUGGCGGGGUAAAGGCCCACCAAGGCGACGAUCAGUAGGGGGUGUGAGAGCAUGACCCCCCACAUGGGUACUGAGACACGGACCCAACUCCUACGGGAGGCAGCAGUAAGGAAUAUUGGACAAUGGGCGGAAGCCUGAUCCAGCCAUGCCGCGUGAAGGAUGAAGGCGCUCAGCGUUGUAAACUUCUUUUGGAUGGGGACAAACCACUCGAUUCAUCGGGUGCUGAGGGUACCAUCAGAAUAAGCACCGGCUAACUCCGUG